Molecule: ribosomal RNA, 254 nt
Filed under: uncultured bacterium
Lineage: Bacteria
Description: partial 16S ribosomal RNA
Rfam family: Bacterial small subunit ribosomal RNA
Source: RNAcentral
UACGUAGGGUGCGAGCGUUGUCCGGAAUUAUUGGGCGUAAAGAGCUCGUAGGCGGUGUGUCACGUCGGCCGUGAAAACCUGCAGCUUAACUGUGGGCGUGCGGUCGAUACGGGCAUCACUGGAGUUCGGCAGGGGAGACUGGAAUUCCUGGUGUAGCGGUGAAAUGCGCAGAUAUCAGGAGGAACACCGGUGGCGAUGGCGGGUCUCUGGGCCGAUACUGACGCUGAGGAGCGAAAGCGUGGGGAGCAAACAGG